AGCUUGAGUGUAAAUGAGGUAGGCGGAAUGUGUUGUGUAGCGGUGAAAUGCUUAGAUAUAACACAGAACACCAAUUGCGAAGGCAGCUUACUAGAAUACAACUGACGCUGAGGCACGAAAGCGUGGGGAUCAAACAGGAUUAGAUACCCUGGUAGUCCACGCAGUAAACGAUGAAUACUAGCUGUAUGCGAUAUACUGUAUGUGGCAAAGCGAAAGCGUUAAGUAUUCCACCUGGGGAGUACGUUCGCAAGAAUG
This 255-nucleotide ribosomal RNA is filed under the name uncultured bacterium. RNAcentral describes it as "partial 16S ribosomal RNA". It matches the Rfam family "Bacterial small subunit ribosomal RNA", at positions 639 to 896 of the family's 1533-position model. The record is from RNAcentral.